GCCCUUUUCCGGUUGAUCCUGCCGGAGGCCAUUGCUAUCGGAGUCCGAUUUAGCCAUGCUAGUCGCACGGGUUAGACCCGUGGCGGAAAGCUCAGUAACACGUGGCCAAACUACCCUGUGGACGAGGACAACCUCGGGAAACUGAGGCUAAUCCUCGAUACGGCUUCCCACCUGGAGUGGGGGAAGCCGGAAAUGCCCCGGCGCCACAGGAUGUGGCUGCGGCCGAUUAGGUAGACGGUGGGGUAACGGCCCACCGUGCCAGUAAUCGGUACGGGUGAUGAGAGUCAGCGCCCGGAGACGGUAUCUGAGACAAGAUACCGGGCCCUACGGGGCGCAGCAGGCGCGCAACCUUUACACUGCACGCGAGUGCGAUAGUGGGACUCCGAGUGCGAGGGCAUAUAGUCCUCGCUUUUCUGGACCGUAAGGAGGUUCAAGAAUAAGGGCUGGGCAAGACCGGUGCCAGCCGCCGCGGUAAUACCGGCAGCCCGAGUGAUGGCCGCGAUUAUUGGGCCUAAAGCGUUCGUAGCCUGCCGGACAAGUCCGUUGGGAAAUCCACGCGCUCAACGCGUGGGCGUCCAGCGGAAACUGUCCGGCUUGGGGCCGGAAGACUCGAGGGGUACGUCCGGGGUAGGAGUGAAAUCCCGUAAUCCUGGACGGACCGCCGGUAGCGAAAGCGCCUCGAGAGGACGGACCCGACGGUGAGGAACGAAAGCCAGGGUCUCGAACCGGAUUAGAUACCCGGGUAGUCCUGGCCGUAAACGAUGCUCGCUA
This 771-nucleotide ribosomal RNA is filed under the name uncultured archaeon. Its description in RNAcentral is "bacterial SSU rRNA". It matches the Rfam family "Archaeal small subunit ribosomal RNA", at positions 1 to 769 of the family's 1478-position model. The record is from RNAcentral.